CCCGCUGAACUUAAGCAUAUCAAUAAGCGGAGGAAAAGAAACUAACCAGGAUUCCCCUAGUAACGGCGAGUGAAGCGGGAAGAGCUCAAAUUUGAAAUCUGGCGGUCUUUCGGCCGUCCGAGUUGUAGUCUGGAGAAGCGUCUUCCGCGCCGGACCGUGUACAAGUCUCUUGGAAUAGAGCGUCAUAGAGGGUGAGAAUCCCGUCUUUGACACGGACCGCCGGCGCUUUUGUGAUGCGCUCUCGAAGAGUCGAGUUGUUUGGGAAUGCAGCUCAAAACGGGUGGUAAAUUCCAUCUAAAGCUAAAUACAGGCGAAAGACCGAUAGUGAACAAGUACCGUGAGGGAAAGAUGAAAAGAACUUUGGAAAGAGAGUUAAAAAGUACGUGAAAUUGUUGAAAGGGAAACGCUUGAAGUCAGUCACAUUGGCCAGGGAUCAACUUGCUUAAGUGUACUUCCUGGUUGAUGGGCCAACAUCAGCUUUGACUGUCAGAGAAGGGUAGGGGGAAUGUGGCACCCUCCUGGGUGUGUUAUAGCCCUCUGUCAUAUAUGGCCGUUGGGGCUGAGGAAUGCAGCGCGCCACAAGGCCGGGUUUUGACCACGUUCGCGCUUAGGAUGUUGGCAUAAUGGCUUUAAUCGACCCGUCUUGAAACACGG
Molecule: ribosomal RNA, 654 nt
Filed under: uncultured fungus
Lineage: Eukaryota; Fungi
Description: eukaryotic LSU rRNA
Rfam family: Eukaryotic large subunit ribosomal RNA
Source: RNAcentral